Molecule: non-coding RNA, 74 nt
Organism: Cordylochernes scorpioides
Lineage: Eukaryota; Metazoa; Arthropoda; Arachnida; Pseudoscorpiones; Chernetidae
Source: the annotation of a GenBank genome assembly
UGCAUCGGCCGGGAAUCGAACCCUGGCCGCCCGCGUGGCAGGCGAGCAUUAUUCUACCACUGAACCACCGAUGC